RNAcentral lists this non-coding RNA (76 nucleotides) under Escherichia coli. Lineage: Bacteria; Pseudomonadati; Pseudomonadota; Gammaproteobacteria; Enterobacterales; Enterobacteriaceae. RNAcentral also lists the same sequence under 1 other name. The record is from RNAcentral.
CACACAUAGGAACCUCCUCUAAGGAUUCUAUGGACAGUCGAUGCAGGGAGUGGCUGCUCCCUGCAUCGGCGAUUUU